This 6382-nucleotide long non-coding RNA is filed under the name Sus scrofa (pig). RNAcentral's name for it is "lncRNA (ENSSSCG00000062132.1)". Lineage: Eukaryota; Metazoa; Chordata; Mammalia; Artiodactyla; Suidae. The record is from RNAcentral.
UCUUGACAUGUUGUGCCUGGUACUAAUCAUUGCUAGGAAAAUAUUUGUUUAAUAUUAUAAAUAUAUCUUAAAGACAGUGACAAACCAAUGAAGGAUUUUAAUACAAUACAAAGAAUUAUUAUAAGUAUGAAUUUGAACAACAGGGAGAUAAGUUAAAAGUCUAUUUCAGUAGUCUAAGAUGGAAAUAAAUUCUGCAUUUCUUUUAUCUGGGCAUUUAGGUUCAUGAUAAGAAUUUUUGUGAACUAGGUCUUUAGGUAUAAAUUUAUAUCUGCAUUUAUGUAUACAUUUCUGUAUAAGCAAGUGAUGAGCAGUAUAUGGCCUAUGAGAAAUAGUAUACAUGCUUUAGGGGAAGUCAUUCAUCUAACAGGUGAGAAAAUUCAUCCAAGCCUUCUCCAUUGGACUUCAUCCCCUAGUACAGUCAGCUGGUUGUUUCUGGCAGACAGAAGAUGAAGUUCAGUGAAUUAUUGGUUAAAUAACAUUUAUAUCUUUCUCAGGGCUAUAAUGAAAAAUAAAAUGAAAAGAAAUACUCUAUGUAUAUUUAUCAGAGUCUAGGCAUUGAUACAGAAGAUGUAAUUCCAAUUUUAAAAGGGAGAAGAAGACUGUAUAAUGAAUUGGUCACAGAAGAACUGAAAGAUUAGAAUAGCAAAAUGGAGAUGGGAGUGGCAAGUUUGGGAAAGAAAAUUAUAUUGGUGGCCCCACAAGUCUGCCCCUGUUUCUGUGCUGUUGGAGAUGCCUUUGCAGUCAGUCCUGAAUCACCUCUCUCAAGGCUUAAAUUGCUGCAAAAGGGAAUGAUUGUUCUCAGGCUCCCCUAAUGUCAGCUCAGCUAACAUUAUAGCCACUACUAGGAAGUACUAUACUGCUGGUACCAGAGACAGAAUAUUCCCCUAUUUUUUUUCCCUGCUUCUCAUUUCCUUCCUAAACAUUUUCUCCUCUAUCAAGAUCACAUUCUACAUAGAAUUUUGAAUUAAUGUUCACCUAACAUUUUGAAUGGCUAUUAUGUAAGUAUGAAAUAAUUUACUUUUUAAUUUUCCUAAAUUUUGGUAAUUAAAUCGGUCCUAUUUUUUUGCUACCAUAAAGUCUUUGGUAAGCAUCUUUGCUUGCAAGCAUUGUUUCGUCUCAGAUAAUUGUUUUAAGAGUGGGUCUUAGAAGUGUAAAAACUGUUACAGUAUCCUUAAGACUGUUUUGUUGGUUACCAAAAUAGAUUGAUUCCAAAGUUUUAUAACUGUAAUGUAUUUCCACCAAAUAUGGCAUUUCAUUACUCUUUCACUAGCAUACAUUAUUUUUUUCUCUUUUCUCCACACCCUUUGCUCUCUUUCUUCCUCUCUGACUAUAUAUAUUUUAUUUACUAAUUCCAUAUUUUCUUAGUAUUCAGUAUUUUUUACAAAGUCUUUUUAGUGGAGGAAUCCUAUAGAGCUCUACUUUCUCAUAUCUUUACCAAGUUUAUCCUAGUAACUAGAGUUUAUAUAUUUUGUCUAAUGCCUGUCUAUAAAAUUUUAUUUCAAAUAUCUUAAAUUGUCUGACUGUUCCAAAUGUUAGACUUCACUGUCAUAAAUUUAUAAAAAAUAUUUCUUUUGUAUUAAAAAUAAUUUUCAAGGCCAUUAAUUAUAAUGAUGAUGAUGAUUGUCAUUUGUAGAAGACUGUGUUACUCUAAUGACACUUGAUUGGAGGUAUUUUUGGAGGUAGUGAAAGGGAUGCUAGGGUUGCAAAAAAACAAAUUCCUCCUAAUAGCUUGGCUUUCAUCCCAGAACUGCAAGGGAAUAUCCCCAAUCAAGUUUCAAACACAACUGAUGGUUUGCUGCUAUUAUAUAAUAGGUAACAUUUCCCUGCCUGUGGAUACAAUUCAAAAUAGGAUAAAUCAAUCCUCAGUUAUAGGAUAAAAUAUUUUGCUAAUUGUAUUUCCUGUACCUAUCAGUGAUGAGUGCUUUUUGUCUCUUUGUUUAUUUUCCUUCUGUAAACACUAUGAAACCCAUUCUUAUUUUGACAAAUACGUUAGACUUGGUUUUACCUAUGUAAACUUGGGUAAAAUAUUAUGACUUGGAAUCAGGAGUUUUUAGUCAUUUAUGUUUGUAAUGAAAAGGGAUUUUUGCUGAAGUUUAAAGAUUUCUUGACUGAUUUUUAUAGAGACUAUAGUUGAACCAGCCAAAGUUAAAUCAAUUGUAUAAUUUAGGACAAUAGAAAUGGGUGCUGGUUUAGUAAUUACCUUAACAUUUUACAAAUGGUAGAUGCCAUUUGUAAAUGGUAGAUGCCAUGGUGUUUAGAAAUGUAUAGACCUGUUAAUCGCAACUAUUAAGUAGUAUAUUUUCCUGGGAAACUAGAAUCCUCAAAUAUUGGAUGCUAUUAUGAAUAUAGAGGGUGAAGGCAGAAACCAUGGAUAAUAUUCAGUGUUCAGAAAUUGAACUGAGAUAUUGAAGUCAACAAAGAAAGAGAGUAAAAUAUUACUAUAAAACUUCUUAAAUAUGUUUUACAACCACGCAGAGAUGAUAAAAUGUGAAGCUAAGAAGUUUAUAACUGAGCAUCACCAUAAAAAUUAAAUAUAGUUUCUGUACCCUUAUUUUUUCAGAGAAGAAACUAAAGGUCUGUAAGAUUAUCAAAUAACGUAUCCAUAAAAGUAAAAUCCAUUGGAGAAAAAUAAUAUCCUGAGAAAAGAGCUGGUUUAAGUGAAGAAGCAUGUUACCACUUAAAGAUUAAGAAUGGUGGAAUUCAAAAGCAUAUGGUGAGGAUUCCACUAGAUACAAAAAGGCUUAAUCAUUAAAGCUUAGUUAAAUAUGUUUGAGAUGAGUAUUUGAAUAGAAUAGGAGAUUAAGAAAUUGACCCCUUAUGACUAUCGUUGUUUGGAAGUGAGAUAGGCAAGGCUGUUUUAAAACAGAUAUUUCCCACGCUACCCUUUCCAGAUAGUAAUAAAGGGGAACAACGUUAGUGUGGAAAAAAUAACACUCUCCCAGAACAAUGUUAAUAGGGAAAGCAUAGCAACACUCUCCCAGAAAUUUGAGAAUAAUUGCCAAGUUGUAAAAUGUAUCCUUUGUCUUUUGUUCUACUUCUAUAAAUCUAAGCAACAGGCUUACCUGUGUAAGUGGGCAAAAACCUAUAUCAAUAACAUUCACUGACCAAUUUGUAUAAUUACUAUAUUAAAAACACUAUAAUAUCCAUUGUUAGGAAAAAAAACUAAUUGUCAAAUAGAUGCACAAUCAUUAACUAAACUGUGUAGUAUUUAUGCCUACCACCGUUGCAGGAGUACCAAAAUAUAUUGACAGGUAAAUAAAUCCAGUGAAACUCAUUGCAUACCAUAUGGUCUUAUUUAUUUUUUUGAAAAGAAAAUGUACAUGUGAAUGUCUAUUUGCAGAGUUCUUGCUGUGGCAUAGCAGGUUUAGGAUCCAGCUUUGUCUCUGCAGUAGCUUGGGUCACUUCUGAGACACAUGUUUGAUCCCUGUAUUGGCGUAGUCGGUUAAGGAUCCAGCAUUGCCACAGUUGCAGUUUAGGUCGGAGCUACAGCUUGGACUUGAUUUCUGGCCUGGGGACUUCCAUAUGACACAGGUGCAGCCAAAAAAAAAUCCUGACUUGAUCAUAAAUGAUGUUCUGCCUACAACUGUUAUAUCUGCCUGCUGUCUUGCUAGGGGCUCUCCUGUCCCCUCCUACAUUCACCCCCCAUUUCCAAGGAGUAUGGAUAGCAAAUUGACAACUCAUGGAUGUGCUCUAAUGAUUCUCUGCAUAGAUACAUUGCUAGAGAUUGCUGUACCAGGCUUAGGACACUGUCAGCAGGAGGCACAGAUGCUGCCUCUAUGUCCUACCUAGAGCAUAAUUAAACCAGCUAUAGGACAAAUAAUUAUCAUAAGCUCUAUCAUCAAGGACUCGACUCUAGAAAAAAACUUGAGGUCCCAGAAACUGGAUUACAUCCAUUAGAAUAGUCACAAGACCUAAUCUAAGACAAGGGUGUGUUUCUUUUUUUUUUUUUUUAACUUUUUAUAUAAUGAUUUUUAUUUAUUUUUUUCAUUAUGACUAGUUUACCGUGUUCUGUCAAUUUACUACCAUACAAUGUAUACAGAGAAGCUGGGAAUAUUUCAGCUGGUGGCUAACUUGACCUGUGUUAUUGUCAUCUUGCUGUGUGAGGAUACUGCUGGUUCUCCAAUGCAAGGGCCCUUCAUUCCAUGAAGCAAAUCUUUUUUUUCACUAGAGGACUGAAAGAAAAUAGAAAUCUUCUGCCAUAAAUCUGUAUUGGCCCUCCUCCACUCAGACGUUAUUUUUGUCAGAAGGCUCAAAGCUGGGGAGAAGGAAGGUGACUGAUCUAGAAUUGAUAGUGGUAGAAAUUUAAAUGAGCUACAUUAUGGGAUUCUUGGAUGAAUAGAGACAGAAAGAAAAAGCUUUAAAACUUGACAGACACAAUAGUCAAGAGACUAUUAAAACACAAUCAAGUAGAAAGAAAGAAAAUGGAAGAAUGAGGCUAUCUGUGUCAAAAUAAUAGGUUUGGGUUAGUAGGUUAAUAGAGUUUCAGGUUUCAACUUUAAAGCAGUUCUUGUUGAUAGGAGAGUUCAGAGUACAGUGACCAAAAUAGGUGUUUCAAAGAGUGAUGUGAGAGGCCAUUUAUUUUUAGGGAAUUUAGAAACUCUUGGGCUGAGAUAUUAAAAUUGCUCAAGAUCAAAAUAAGAAGAAAAAUACUUGGUUUCAUUUUCUUGAACCAUUUAAGAAUGUGAUCUGUUAGUCAAUAGAAAACACAACAAAAAGUGUUGGGUUAGGCAUAAUAUUGUCUGAAGACCUUAGUAUGGACUGGCUAUAUACACUAAUUUGGACUUAGAGAAAGAGCACUCCCACUACAAAACACCGUUGACAGUGUGAGUUUGAGGGUGAACCUCUUAAAAUUACUACAAAGUUGUACUUAGGAAAAGAGCCAGUCAUGAAUUUAAGCAGGAUGAUACAGGACCAGUCCUUUGAAGAAGCAAACUGUAGAGGUGGUGUUUACUUAAAGACUCCAAAAGACCAGAUAGUGCUCCUGGCAUGCAAUGAGUAAAAUUGAGGUUGCAAGAAUAUGUGGAAAAAGAGUCCUUUAAGAAAUAAUCAUAGCCGUGGAGGUGAAAAGCAGCAUGCUCCCAGUCUAAGGAUUCUGAAGCUAAGUUAAUAAAGUCAUUUCGACUAGUUCUUGUGGGGUUAAGUUGCUACUUUUUCAACUCGGCUUACACCAAAACCCAAGGUGAAAUGGCCAGGACACAAUAACAAGAAGUAAGGGAAAUGAGUCAAAGUGUUAGUAGUAAAUAGGCAAUUUUAAUUAUAGAGGUGCAUCAGCGUCUCCAAGCUACCAGAUGAGAGUUAGAUUUUAGUUUAUGAAAGUUUUGAUAGCAAUUGGAGGAUGAACAUGUCAAAGUGAAUAAGGACAUAAAAAGCUAGAUAAAGUAGGCAGUGGUGUUAUGGAAUAAAUAACCUUUAGAUGGAGAGGUAGAGGUGGAGAAGAAGCUCCUAUUUGGCCACUUGUGGCAGAUGUACUCCCCCUUAGCACAGCCGAUUUCACACCAACUGUAAUAGACAAUUCUGUGCACAUUGCCGGAAUCCCACCAAAGCACACUCGGCAGAACGUUUAUGCUUUUCUGCCUCUGACUCGCUGUUGUCGCAAUGUCUCUGAGCACAGAUAUAUAAAGGCUGUUGUGAGUGGGGUUGGAGGUUAAUGCUUCCAAAGACCAUUUUCAACUAAUGGAGGGAAAAGGUCUGUAGAUAAUUUCAAACUCCUUUUCUUUCAGGGUGACCAUUCUGAGGUGGAUUCUGCAAGAUUCCUGAGAGGGUCUUCACAAAUCUCCAAAGGGAUUGAUUUCCAUUGCCCAAAUGAGCAGUAAGCUCAGUGAGGCACACAUUAUCGGCUUUCAGCUUCCCCAUUCCCUCACUUUUCCCUUUCCUUCCUGGAAUUAACUCUUAAUUAUCUACACCAAAUCCUUAUGCCAGGCUCUGCUUUAAGAAAUCCAAAUUAAGACAGUACUUCAUUUAUUUUCUCAGUAAACACCUUAGUAAUGGGAAUUUGUGGAUAAUGAAGAUUGUGUGGAAUAGAAAAUGGUAGUGAAUGUUCCAGGAAAAUUGAUUAGCAGUGGGUUAUAGUGAAGAACAACUUUGUAUUUGCUUUCAUAAUGAGACAGUUCCUUGGAUCAGUUUUCUCUCAUGUGUGAUAUGCUUAGAUUUCAUUGUUCUGGGAUUGUUAUCUAUGGAAUCUCACUUAUUCAUCCUCAUAAAUUCUUGGAAACAUUCACAGCACUAGGAUUAAAGGAAAGAUGAGAGUGGAUAACUUGAUAAGGCAGAAAAAACAAUUUUGAAGAAUAACAGGAGGGAGUUGGGAGGGACCAGAAGACAAUUCUACGAGUCAUCACCUCUCCUUUGUCACUUUAUCCUAACAUUUUUAUGUUAACUUUUUUCU